Molecule: ribosomal RNA, 662 nt
Filed under: uncultured bacterium
Lineage: Bacteria
Description: bacterial SSU rRNA
Rfam family: Bacterial small subunit ribosomal RNA
Source: RNAcentral
ACCGCGUAACGCCGCGGGGCUGCAUGGCCCUGCGGCCAAAGGAAGCGAUUCCGGCAACGGAUGGGCAUGCGUGACAUUAGCUAGUUGGCGGGGCAACGGCCCACCAAGGCGACGAUGUCUAGGGGUUCUGAGAGGAAGGUCCCCCACACUGGUACUGAGACACGGACCAGACUCCUACGGGAGGCAGCAGUGAGGAAUAUUGGUCAAUGGGCGCGAGCCUGAACCAGCCAAGUCGCGUGAGGGAUGACGGCCCUACGGGUUGUAAACCUCUUUUGUCGGGGAGCAAAUUCCGCCACGCGUGGCGGAGUCGAGAGUACCCGAAGAAAAAGCAUCGGCUAACUCCGUGCCAGCAGCCGCGGUAAUACGGAGGAUGCGAGCGUUAUCCGGAUUUAUUGGGUUUAAAGGGUGCGUAGGCGGACUGUCAAGUCAGCGGUAAAAUACGGGGGCUCAACCUCCGCCCGCCGUUGAAACUGACGGUCUUGAGUGGGCGAGAAGUAUGCGGAAUGCGUGGUGUAGCGGUGAAAUGCAUAGAUAUCACGCAGAACUCCGAUUGCGAAGGCAGCAUACCGGCGCCCAACUGACGCUGAAGCACGAAAGCGUGGGUAUCGAACAGGAUUAGAUACCCUGGUAGUCCACGCAGUAAACGAUGAAUACUAGCUGUC